AAAUUGAAGAGUUUGAUCAUGGCUCAGAUUGAACGCUGGCGGCAGGCCUAACACAUGCAAGUCGAACGGUAGCACAGAGAGCUUGCUCUCGGGUGACGAGUGGCGGACGGGUGAGUAAUGUCUGGGAAACUGCCUGAUGGAGGGGGAUAACUACUGGAAACGGUAGCUAAUACCGCAUAACGUCGCAAGACCAAAGAGGGGGACCUUCGGGCCUCUUGCCAUCAGAUGUGCCCAGAUGGGAUUAGCUAGUAGGUGGGGUAAUGGCUCACCUAGGCGACGAUCCCUAGCUGGUCUGAGAGGAUGACCAGCCACACUGGAACUGAGACACGGUCCAGACUCCUACGGGAGGCAGCAGUGGGGAAUAUUGCACAAUGGGCGCAAGCCUGAUGCAGCCAUGCCGCGUGUAUGAAGAAGGCCUUCGGGUUGUAAAGUACUUUCAGCGAGGAGGAAGGCGGUGAGGUUAAUAACCUCAUCGAUUGACGUUACUCGCAGAAGAAGCACCGGCUAACUCCGUGCCAGCAGCCGCGGUAAUACGGAGGGUGCAAGCGUUAAUCGGAAUUACUGGGCGUAAAGCGCACGCAGGCGGUCUGUCAAGUCGGAUGUGAAAUCCCCGGGCUCAACCUGGGAACUGCAUUCGAAACUGGCAGGCUAGAGUCUUGUAGAGGGGGGUAGAAUUCCAGGUGUAGCGGUGAAAUGCGUAGAGAUCUGGAGGAAUACCGGUGGCGAAGGCGGCCCCCUGGACAAAGACUGACGCUCAGGUGCGAAAGCGUGGGGAGCAAACAGGAUUAGAUACCCUGGUAGUCCACGCCGUAAACGAUGUCGACUUGGAGGUUGUUCCCUUGAGGAGUGGCUUCCGGAGCUAACGCGUUAAGUCGACCGCCUGGGGAGUACGGCCGCAAGGUUAAAACUCAAAUGAAUUGACGGGGGCCCGCACAAGCGGUGGAGCAUGUGGUUUAAUUCGAUGCAACGCGAAGAACCUUACCUACUCUUGACAUCCAGAGAACUUUCCAGAGAUGGAUUGGUGCCUUCGGGAACUCUGAGACAGGUGCUGCAUGGCUGUCGUCAGCUCGUGUUGUGAAAUGUUGGGUUAAGUCCCGCAACGAGCGCAACCCUUAUCCUUUGUUGCCAGCGGUUAGGCCGGGAACUCAAAGGAGACUGCCAGUGAUAAACUGGAGGAAGGUGGGGAUGACGUCAAGUCAUCAUGGCCCUUACGAGUAGGGCUACACACGUGCUACAAUGGCGCAUACAAAGAGAAGCGACCUCGCGAGAGCAAGCGGACCUCAUAAAGUGCGUCGUAGUCCGGAUUGGAGUCUGCAACUCGACUCCAUGAAGUCGGAAUCGCUAGUAAUCGUAGAUCAGAAUGCUACGGUGAAUACGUUCCCGGGCCUUGUACACACCGCCCGUCACACCAUGGGAGUGGGUUGCAAAAGAAGUAGGUAGCUUAACCUUCGGGAGGGCGCUUACCACUUUGUGAUUCAUGACUGGGGUGAAGUCGUAACAAGGUAACCGUAGGGGAACCUGCGGUUGGAUCACCUCCUUACCUUAAAGAA
This 1550-nucleotide ribosomal RNA is filed under the name Leclercia sp. 29361. RNAcentral describes it as "bacterial SSU rRNA". It matches the Rfam family "Bacterial small subunit ribosomal RNA". The record is from RNAcentral. Lineage: Bacteria; Pseudomonadati; Pseudomonadota; Gammaproteobacteria; Enterobacterales; Enterobacteriaceae.